CUGGCAUGCCUGGUGCAAGUUAGCACCCUGGCCAGUCCUCCUCUGUCCUGCUCCCACCUGCCAGGGGUCUGCUGGUCAUACUGGAGAGGAGGCCCUGGUCCCAGCAAGGGGCUAGGAUGCCCUGUGCUGUCUGGCACAGGAAGAGCACUAAGAGCUGGUGGGUUAAUGCCUGACUUCUGACACUACAUUGAAGCCGCACUGGGCCAGCUAGAGUCUCCCUUUGGAUAUUGAAGGAACAGUGUCCGUCUCUUCACAGGAACUUCAUAAAGUUUGUUAGUAGAACUCCCUGGACAACUGGAAGGAAAGAUAAAAUAGAUAUUGAAACACACAGAGAAAAUAAAAAUAUGCAGAGAGAAUAAAAACAUGUCUGUAGCAUGGCCAUGGACUGCAUUUUAUCUUGUACAGCUCAGAUGGGACAUCUUUCCACUGGAGAACAGAGAAUUCAUAUAGUCAGCGCCUGUAAGGUUUAGUGGUCCUUCAAAGUGCCUAUGGAACAUCCUCAUCCUUUCUAGAGGAAUGAACAGUGGAACAAGCUCUUUAUCAAAGCCCUGGAGUGA
RNAcentral lists this long non-coding RNA (557 nucleotides) under Cyanistes caeruleus (blue tit). RNAcentral's name for it is "lncRNA (ENSCCEG00000018409.1)". The record is from RNAcentral. Lineage: Eukaryota; Metazoa; Chordata; Aves; Passeriformes; Paridae.